Molecule: non-coding RNA, 72 nt
Filed under: Methylobacterium sp.
Lineage: Bacteria; Pseudomonadati; Pseudomonadota; Alphaproteobacteria; Hyphomicrobiales; Methylobacteriaceae
Also listed under: 1 other name
Description: Fluoride sequence
Rfam family: Fluoride riboswitch aptamer (crcB RNA motif)
Source: RNAcentral
GAAGGCUGCGGCAAUGGAUUCUGCCGGGCGCAAAGCCGAACCGCCAUAAGGGCUGAUGAUUCCUAACCUUUU